This 490-nucleotide ribosomal RNA is filed under the name uncultured bacterium. Its description in RNAcentral is "partial 16S ribosomal RNA". It matches the Rfam family "Bacterial small subunit ribosomal RNA", at positions 30 to 507 of the family's 1533-position model. The record is from RNAcentral.
AUUGAACGCUGGCGGCAGGCCUAACACAUGCAAGUCGAACGGUAACAGGAAGACGCUUGCUUCUUUGCUGACGAGUGUCGGACGGGUGAGUAAUGUCUGGGAAACUGCCUGAUGGAGGGGGAUAACUACUGGAAACGGUAGCUAAUACCGCAUAACGUCGCAAGACCAAAGAGCGGGACCUUCGGGCCUCUUGCCAUCGGAUUUGCCCAGAUGGGAUUAGCUAGUAGGUGGGGUAACGGCGCACCUAGGCGACGAUCCCUAGCUGGUCUGAGAGGAUGACCAGCCAGACUGGAACUGAGACAGGGUCCACACUCCUACGGGAGGCAGCAGUGGGGAAUAUUACACGAUGGGCGCAAGCCUGAUGCAGCCAUGCCGCGUGUAUGAUGAAGGCCUUAGGGUUGUAGAGUACUUUAGGCGGGAAGGAAGGAAGUCACGUUCAUCCCUUUGCUCAUUGACGGUACCCGCAGAAGAAGCCCCGGCUAACUCCGUG